This 386-nucleotide ribosomal RNA is filed under the name uncultured bacterium. RNAcentral's name for it is "bacterial SSU rRNA". It matches the Rfam family "Bacterial small subunit ribosomal RNA", at positions 954 to 1338 of the family's 1533-position model. The record is from RNAcentral.
GCAUAACGCGAAGAACCUUACCAGGCCUUGACAUGCAGAGAACUUUCCAGAGAUGGAUUGGUGCCUUCGGGAACUCUGACACAGGUGCUGCAUGGCUGUCGUCAGCUCGUGUCGUGAGAUGUUGGGUUAAGUCCCGUAACGAGCGCAACCCUUGUCCUUAGUUACCAGCACGUUAUGGUGGGCACUCUAAGGAGACUGCCGGUGACAAACCGGGAGGAAGGUGGGGAUGGACGUCAAGUCAUCAUGGCCCUUACGGCCUGGGCUACACACGUGCUACAUGGUCGGUACAGAGGGUUGCCAAGCCGCGAGGUGGAGCUAAUCUCACAAAACCGAUCAUAGUCCGGAUCGCAGUCUGCAACUCGACUGCGUGAAGUCGGAAUCGCUAG